This is a long non-coding RNA of Octopus sinensis (East Asian common octopus), 151 nucleotides long. RefSeq lists it as uncharacterized. The record is from RefSeq and is a predicted model, not a curated record. Lineage: Eukaryota; Metazoa; Mollusca; Cephalopoda; Octopoda; Octopodidae. The transcript is spliced from 3 exons.
CGUCAUCUCAUGAGGAUCUUCCUCUCCCUUGGAAUCUUGUUGCUAUUUGUUGUGGCCUUGUGCUCUGGAACAUAUUUCAGGCUUAUGGCUUGCACAACAGACAUAAAAUAUUCUAGUUUCAUGUCAAAGUCUUGUGUGGAGAGUACAUUUU